RNAcentral lists this ribosomal RNA (592 nucleotides) under Lachancea thermotolerans. RNAcentral describes it as "partial large subunit ribosomal RNA". It matches the Rfam family "Eukaryotic large subunit ribosomal RNA", at positions 65 to 670 of the family's 3401-position model. The record is from RNAcentral. Lineage: Eukaryota; Fungi; Ascomycota; Saccharomycetes; Saccharomycetales; Saccharomycetaceae.
CCCACGGGGAUGCCUUAAUUAACGGCGGAGGUGAAGCGGCAAAAGCUCAAAUUUGAAAUCUGGCACCUUCGGUGUCCGAGUUGUAAUUUGAAGAAGCUACUUUGGGGCUAGUCCUUGUCUAUGUUCCUUGGAACAGGACGUCAUGGAGGGUGAGAAUCCCGUAUGGCGAGGAGUCUAGUCCUAUGUAAAGUGCUUUCGACGAGUCGAGUUGUUUGGGAAUGCAGCUCUAAGUGGGUGGUAAAUUCCAUCUAAAGCUAAAUAUUGGCGAGAGACCGAUAGCGAACAAGUACAGUGAUGGAAAGAUGAAAAGAACUUUGAAAAGAGAGUGAAAAAGUACGUGAAAUUGUUGAAAGGGAAGGGCAUUUGAUCAGACAUGGUGUUUUGCGACCCUCGCUCCUUGUGGGUGGGGAUCUCGCAGCUCACUGGGCCAACAUCAGUUUUGGCGGUAGGAUAAAUCUUUGGGAACGUGGCUUGUCUUCGGAGAAGCGUUAUAGCCCAGGGGAAUACUGCCAGCCGGGACUGAGGACUGCGACUUUUGUCAAGGAUGUUGGCAUAAUGGUUAAAUGCCGCCCGUCUUGAAACACGAACCAAA